This 484-nucleotide ribosomal RNA is filed under the name uncultured bacterium. RNAcentral's name for it is "partial 16S ribosomal RNA". It matches the Rfam family "Bacterial small subunit ribosomal RNA", at positions 30 to 507 of the family's 1533-position model. The record is from RNAcentral.
AUUGAACGCUGGCGGCAUGCCUAACACAUGCAAGUCGAACGGCAGCGCGGGGUUCGGCCUGGCAUCGAGUGGCGAACGGGUGAGUAAUACAUCGGAACGUGCCCAGUCGUGGGGGAUAGCUUGGCGAAAGCGGGAUUAAUACCGCAUACGACCUGAGGGUGAAAGCGGGGGAUCUUCGGACCUCGCGCUAUUGGAGCGGCCGAGGUCGGAUUAGCUAGUUGGUGGGGUAAAGGCCUACCAAGGCGACGAUCCGUAGCUGGUCUGAGAGGAUGACCAGUCACACUGGAACUGAGACACGGCCCAGACUCCUACGGGAGGCAGCAGUGGGGAAUUUUGGACAAUGGGCGAAAGCCUGAUCCAGCAAUGCCGCGUGUGUGAUGAAGGCCUUCGGAUUGUAAAGCACUUUUGGCUGGAACGAAAAGAAGUGUGUCAAUACCUCGCUGCGAUGACGGUACCCGCAGAAUAAGCACCGGCUAACUACGUG